UUCCGGUUGAUCCCGCCGGACCUGACUGCUAUCGGAUUGAUACUAAGCCAUGCGAGUCAUUGUAGCAAUACAAGGCAUACGGCUCAGUAACGCGUAGUCAACCUAACCUAUGGACGGGAAUAACCUCGGGAAACUGAGAAUAAUGCCCGAUAGAACAUUAUGCCUGGAAUGGUUUAUGUUCCAAAUGAUUUAUCGCCGUAGGAUGGGACUGCGGCCUAUCAGUUUGUUGGUGAGGUAAUGGCCCACCAAGACUAUUACAGGUACGGGCUCUGAGAGGAGUAGCCCGGAGAUGGGUACUGAGACACGGACCCAGGCCCUAUGGGGCGCAGCAGGCGAGAAAACUUUGCAAUGUGCGAAAGCACGACAAGGUUAAUCCGAGUGGUUUCUGCUAAAGAAACCUUUUGUCAGUCCUAGAAACACUGAUGAAUAAGGGGUGGGCAAGUUCUGGUGUCAGCCGCCGCGGUAAAACCAGCACCUCAAGUGGUCAGGAUGAUUAUUGGGCCUAAAGCAUCCGUAGCCGGCUCUGUAAGUUUUCGGUUAAAUCUGUACGCUCAACGUACAGGCUGCCGGGAAUACUGCAGAGCUAGGGAGUGGGAGAGGUAGACGGUACUCGGUAGGAAGGGGUAAAAUCCUUUGAUCUAUUGAUGACCACCUGUGGCGAAGGCGGUCUACCAGAACACGUCCGACGG
This 689-nucleotide ribosomal RNA is filed under the name uncultured Nitrososphaerota archaeon. RNAcentral's name for it is "bacterial SSU rRNA". It matches the Rfam family "Archaeal small subunit ribosomal RNA", at positions 1 to 697 of the family's 1478-position model. Lineage: Archaea; Thermoproteati; Nitrososphaerota. The record is from RNAcentral.